Molecule: ribosomal RNA, 460 nt
Filed under: uncultured bacterium
Lineage: Bacteria
Description: partial 16S ribosomal RNA
Rfam family: Bacterial small subunit ribosomal RNA
Source: RNAcentral
CCUACGGGAGGCAGCAGUGAGGAAUAUUGGUCAAUGGGCUUACGCCUGAACCAGCCAAGUCGCGUGAGGGAAGACUGCCCUAUGGGUUGUAAACCUCUUUUGUCAGGGAGCAAUUGGCGCUACGUGUAGCGUUAUCGAGAGUACCUGAAGAAAAAGCAUCGGCUAACUCCGUGCCAGCAGCCGCGGUCAUACGGAGGAUGCGAGCGUUAUCCGGAUUGAUUGGGUUUAAAGGGUGCGUAGGCGGAAUGCCAAGUCAGCGGUAAAAUCGCGGGGCUCAACCUCGCUCCGCCGUUGAAACUGGCGUUCUUGAGUGGGCGAGAAGUAUGCGGAAUGCGUGGUGUAGCGGUGAAAUGCAUAGAUAUCACGCAGAACUCCGAUUGCGAAGGCAGCAUACCGGCGCCCAACUGACGCUGAAGCACGAAAGCGUGGGUAUCGAACAGGAUUAGAUACCCUUGUAGUC